AAUCAACGCUGGCGGCGUGCCUCAGACAUGCAAGUCGAACGAGAAAGUUUCCUUCGGGAGACGAGUACAGUGGCGUCCGGGUGAGUAACACGUGGGUAAUUUACCUUUGGGUGGGAAUAGCAGCCGGAACGGCUAUUAAUACCGCAUAAUGCAGCGGCUCGACAUCGAGACAGUUGUUAAAGCGGGGAUCUGACAAGGACCUCGCGCCUAAAGAGAAGCCUGCGUCAGAUAGCUAGUUGGUAGGGUAAUGGCCUACCAAGGCUGUGAUCUGUAGCCGGCCUGAGAGGGCGGUCGGCCACACUGACACUGACACACGGGUCAGACUCCUACGGGAGGCAGCAGUCGGGAAUUUUGGGCAAUGGGCGCAAGCCUGACCCAGCAACGCUGCGUGAAGGAUGAAAUCCCUCGGGAU
Molecule: ribosomal RNA, 412 nt
Filed under: uncultured bacterium
Lineage: Bacteria
Description: bacterial SSU rRNA
Rfam family: Bacterial small subunit ribosomal RNA
Source: RNAcentral